This 253-nucleotide ribosomal RNA is filed under the name uncultured bacterium. Its description in RNAcentral is "partial 16S ribosomal RNA". It matches the Rfam family "Bacterial small subunit ribosomal RNA", at positions 524 to 776 of the family's 1533-position model. The record is from RNAcentral.
GACGUAGGGCGCGAGCGUUGUCCGGAUUUAUUGGGCGUAAAGAGCUCGUAGGCGGCUUGUCGCGUCGUUCGUGAAAACCUGUGGCUCAACUACAGGCUUGCGGUCGAUACGGGCAGGCUGGAGUUCGGUAGGGGAGACUGGAAUUCCUGGUGUAGCGGUGAAAUGCGUAGAUAUCAGGAGGAACACCGAUGGCGAAGGCAGGUCUCUGGGCUGACACUGACGCUCAUGCACGAAAGCGUGGGGAGCAAACAGG